UACCAGCACCCCGAGUGGUCGGGACGAUUAUUGGGCCUAAAGCAUCCGUAGCCGGUUUUACAAGUCCUCCGUUAAAUCCAACUGCUUAACAGAUGGGCCGCGGAGGAUACUAUAAGACUAGGAGGCAGGAGAGGCAAGCGGUACUCAGUGGGUAGGGGUAAUAUCCGUUGAUCCAUUGAAGACCACCAGUGGCGAAGGCGGCUUGCCAGAAUGCGCUCGACGGUGAGGGAUGAAAGCGGGGGGAGCAAACCGG
This 253-nucleotide ribosomal RNA is filed under the name uncultured bacterium. RNAcentral's name for it is "partial 16S ribosomal RNA". It matches the Rfam family "Archaeal small subunit ribosomal RNA", at positions 474 to 727 of the family's 1478-position model. The record is from RNAcentral.